GAGAUGCUCUGCUUUAUCCCAUCUCCUUGCUCCACUUUCCCCUCAAGGCAAAUCGGAGAGAAAACCCUAGCCCUGCUCUUCCUCCAGCUGCCGCCUCCUCCCAAUCUCCUUCCUUUCUUCUUCUUUGCUGAGAGAAAAUCUCAGGAGAACUUCAGUUUCGUUCGUAGCACCAAGGCAGACACGCCGGAGAUUGCUGUCUUGUCGAUGUCGUCGUCCGAGUGCGUGGAUGGAACCGCCGUGGCGCCUGGGCCAUCCUCGCUGAACUACGGAGCCCGAGCUGGUCAAGAACCUCGUCGCCACCGAGUUCUUCUUCCCGGACCACGCCGCCGCACGCUCACCGCCGUGACCAGUCUUCCUCUUCCUCGCCGUCAUUUUGGAGGUCAUCGCUGCGCACAUCUACGUUGUCUGCAGACCGCCUCUUCCUCCACGGCGCCCUGGUCAUCCACCGGCCACACCGGCGUCUCCGUCGACGCCAGGACACCGAUACCGAGCAGUUCGAGAAGGAGUUCCUCUACAUCACCCCUGAAGACCGCGUUCGUGCUUUCUCCUCCGAUUUGAUAGGCGAGCCCACCUCCUUCACCUAUUUUACAGUUUCACUCUCGUUGUUCUCUUGCUAUCCAUAUGUUGCGUUCUGUUGUGUCACGUGUCCUUUCCACCUGUCACACAUAUGAGCCGUGUCUUCCCGCCUUACCCAUUACCCUUUGUUUGAUGUUUGAACCUUGCGAGUCGUAGCGCGAGUUUAGGGUUUUGAUGAUAUCUCGAUCUGUUAUCGGGAUAUGCUGGGCUGUUGGGAAGUUGUUUUACUUACUAUACCUAUUGUUGGGGAUAAUCAUGGCUCACCCUAAUGUUAAUAUUAAAAUGGAUAAGCAGAGGCAUCAGUGGGUCAGCUGUAUAUUUUGGUUUUACCAUGGCUCACUUGUGUCCAAUUUUAUAAUUAGGACGAGUUCUUGUUUUUUGAUCCAAGACUGAGCGCACUAACCACACGUGGGAGGUUUCACUGGGCCCCCCUCGACCUAUUACCGGAACUGCUUCCACUGUCCAAGUGCCACAAUUAGUUUCGUAACGUUUUGUUUCUCUCGGGCGUGCAAGCUUGUUCCCUUGUGGUCAGAUGAUAUGAUGUCCUUUUUAGGAAGCCGUGAGUGCCUUGUAAUCCGGUUGUCUCUUGCACGCUCGUAGGUGCGGCAUGUAUUGUUAAGAGGUCAUCCUCCAGUGGGCUCUGAUCCUUCUUAGCCGUUCUCGCAACAGCUAGGUCCGCUUCGGAGUUUCGAUCGGGGUCUGAACGGAUUUAACCUAGAUAGGUGGUUUCUUGGACUUGAUCUGUGGUGAAGGGAGGGGUUGUGAUGCGAGGUUUCGCUGGCAAGUUUUCUCAAAACCCUUGCUUGUGGAGUCGGACAUGCGUGUAUGGGUACAGUAGUGCAUCCCUGCAGGGUGAAAUCUUUUCGAAAAGCCGUGUGUGUGGCUUUGCUAAUAAAAACUCUUUCAAAAGUGUGUGUGGCUUUGCCAUACUUCUUUGCGAAGGGGGAUCGCAUUGGCUGGGUUUUGUUUGCAGAGUAUCGAACUGUUAGCUUAUGCGCUCUCUCACCUUCUCUGAUAGACGAAUGUUGUAGUGUGUCUCUAUAAGUUAGUUCAAACUUUGCUGCCGCUAAACCCCACAUAUAGCCGGGCGAAGUUUACACCGCCCACCAGCGAGCACAGCUGGUCUUGUCUCGCAAGUACGUGCCAUUGGUACUUACCCUCGCUUUUCUUUCUCUUUUUCCGGCAACCGUUGGCCCGAU
Lolium perenne is the source of this 1775-nucleotide non-coding RNA. The record is from RefSeq and is a predicted model, not a curated record. NCBI's taxonomy places the organism in Eukaryota, Viridiplantae, Streptophyta, Magnoliopsida, Poales, Poaceae.